Long non-coding RNA from Cynoglossus semilaevis (tongue sole), 1333 nucleotides. RefSeq lists it as uncharacterized. The transcript has 2 exons. The record is from RefSeq and is a predicted model, not a curated record. NCBI's taxonomy places the organism in Eukaryota, Metazoa, Chordata, Actinopteri, Pleuronectiformes, Cynoglossidae.
UUGAAACGGUUUGAUUGAUUUAACUGAGAACAAGACUAAGCAACGUUUGAGUCAAAAGACUCAAUAUUGGCUGUCAAUAUUAAUUAGCCAAAUCAAUGACCCCGCCCUCGACUGAUGCCCAAUGAGGUCACUGUGAAGGACUAAAUGAAUGACAACAACGUACUUUAUCGGUUCAUUGGUCAGUGUUGGUGCACCUCCAAGAUCUACUGAUCACACAAUGACAUCACAUCUGACAUCCAUGACUAUGACCUCACCAGGGAUCAAAGGACAAAGGAAUAAAGACAUGCGGGGAAAUCUCAAGUAGUAGAAAGAAUGGGGGAAAAGGUCACGACAGUGAUGACAACAACUAAUGGAUCAUGACAGAACCUAAGCUAACGUCAACAGCAUAGGACGCAGUAGGAGACGAAGGAUAAAGAAGAAGACAGUGUUUGCAACAUUAUGGGAGCCAAGCGCUGUAACACACCACCAACCAACCUGUAGCUUGUACCAGACGUUUAAAAUGAACGCCAGGGGAGAUGGACGGCACAACGGAAGGAACAGUCCACGUUGGUACAUCCUACCAAUGGGACAUCUGCCACCAGCUAAUCAGCUGACCAAUCGGCACAUCGCUAUAUUGAACAACUUCGUGCAGUGGGGAAGGACCGAACAAGAGCUUAGGGAAAUUAUGAUCACUUUGCAAGAUCGAAGUCAGCACAUCGGUAUAGGACGCAUCCCAGAGCAGCCCGAGCCGUGAGUAUGGAGGCGAUGACAACGCUGACGAUGCAGCGACGGAGGAGGAAGGAAAUGAUGAGACGCAAGGGACUGAAGAACGCUACUGACCUUUAGAGAUCUGGAUCCAGACCAGAAUCUAUACAUCGUCUAGGACAAAACUCUUGUUAGCUCUCUUCUUAACUUAUACACUUGUAUAGGAUCUCAGGUUUGUUAACACAAGUGGGUUUCAAUUUGUUUUUGUUUUUUUUUUCACCACACCGCUAGUAGUUAAUCGCAGAAUGAAUUACACGCGAAGGAGAGGUCGCAGAGUUCGACCUCGUACAUAACAAAGACUCGCGAUCAUCAGCAGCCGACGGCUCUUCAUUCAGCUGCUCCACUAGUUUAACCCGCGCGCUGCUCCUUUUGUGAAACAAGUUGUGAUCAAACUGGGGAAAUACUGAUCUACACUUUCUGAUUUAAUGUGUUACAUUUAAAAUGUGUUAAAAAAAACUGACAAGGGAAGUAGCUGCAAUACCUGCAGCCGGGGAAAGGAGCAGAUGAAAUAGGCUCGUUGUUGUUGACAAUGAAUGACUAACAUUUUUUGAGAAUUGUACACUGACAAUUAAACAUUAAGAGCAGGAAA